UACGAAGGGGGCUAGCGUUGCUCGGAAUCACUGGGCGUAAAGGGCGCGUAGGCGGCCAUUCAAGUCGGAGGUGAAAGCCCAGGGCUCAACCCUGGAAUUGCCUUCGAUACUGUCUGGCUAGAGACCGGAAGAGGUAAGUGGAACUGCGAGUGUAGAGGUGAAAUUCGUAGAUAUUCGCAAGAACACCAGUGGCGAAGGCGGCUUACUGGUCCGGUUCUGACGCUGAGCCGCGAAAGCCAGGGGAGCGAACGGG
Molecule: ribosomal RNA, 253 nt
Filed under: uncultured bacterium
Lineage: Bacteria
Description: partial 16S ribosomal RNA
Rfam family: Bacterial small subunit ribosomal RNA
Source: RNAcentral